UACAGAGGGUGCGAGCGUUAAUCGGAAUUACUGGGCGUAAAGCGCACGUAGGCGGCUUGGUAUGUCGGGUGUGAAAUCCCCGGGCUCAACCUGGGAACUGCAUCCGAAACUGCCUUGCUCGAGUAUGGGAGAGGGAAGUGGAAUUUCCGGUGUAGCGGUGAAAUGCGUAGAUAUCGGGAGGAACACCAAUUGCGAAGGCAGCUCGCUGGGACGUUACUGACGCUGAGACGCGAAAGCGUGGGGAGCAAACAGG
This 253-nucleotide ribosomal RNA is filed under the name uncultured bacterium. RNAcentral's name for it is "partial 16S ribosomal RNA". It matches the Rfam family "Bacterial small subunit ribosomal RNA", at positions 524 to 776 of the family's 1533-position model. The record is from RNAcentral.